UACGGGAGGCAGCAGGGGGAAUAUUGCACAAUGGGCGCAAGCCUGAUGCAGCCAUGCCGCGUGUAUGAAGAAGGCCUUCGGGUUGUAAAGUACUUUCAGUCGUGAGGAAGGUGUUAAGGUUAAUAACCUUAGCAAUUGACGUUAGCGACAGAAGAAGCACCGGCUAACUCCGUGCCAGCAGCCGCGGUAAUACGGAGGGUGCGAGCGUUAAUCGGAAUUACUGGGCGUAAAGGGCACGCAGGCGGUUAAUUAAGUUGGAUGUGAAAUCCCCGGGCUUAACCUGGGAAUGGCAUUCAAGACUGGUUAGCUAGAGUCUUGUAGAGGGGGUAGAAUUCCGAUGUGUAGCGGUGAAAUGCGUAGAGAUGUGGAGGAAUACCGGUGGCGAAGGCGGCCCCUGGACAAAGACUGACGCUCAUGUGCGAAAGCGUGGGGAGCAAACGAGGGAUUAGAUACC
RNAcentral lists this ribosomal RNA (454 nucleotides) under uncultured bacterium. RNAcentral describes it as "bacterial SSU rRNA". It matches the Rfam family "Bacterial small subunit ribosomal RNA", at positions 340 to 786 of the family's 1533-position model. The record is from RNAcentral.